UGCAGAUUCAAGGUUUGAU
RNAcentral lists this small nuclear RNA (19 nucleotides) under Arabidopsis thaliana (thale cress). RNAcentral's name for it is "snRNA_17023". The record is from RNAcentral. Lineage: Eukaryota; Viridiplantae; Streptophyta; Magnoliopsida; Brassicales; Brassicaceae.